CUGCGAUGAUGAUCAGUUAGGACACCUUUGGAUGAAUAAUGAAAAUAACUGUGUAAUUUCUGAGCAGC
This is a small nucleolar RNA of Colossoma macropomum (tambaqui), 68 nucleotides long. RefSeq annotates it as small nucleolar RNA SNORD58. The transcript has a single exon. NCBI's taxonomy places the organism in Eukaryota, Metazoa, Chordata, Actinopteri, Characiformes, Serrasalmidae. The record is from RefSeq and is a predicted model, not a curated record.